AUUGAACGCUGGCGGCAUGCUUUACACAUGCAAGUCGAACGGCAGCGCGGGCUUCGGCCUGGCGGCGAGUGGCGAACGGGUGAGUAAUACAUCGGAACGUGCCCAGUAGUGGGGGAUAGCUCGGCGAAAGCCGGAUUAAUACCGCAUACGACCUGAGGGUGAAAGCGGGGGAUCUUCGGACCUCGCGCUAUUGGCGCGGCCGAUGGCAGAUUAGCUAGUUGGUGGGGUAAAGGCCUACCAAGGCGACGAUCUGUAGCUGGUCUGAGAGGACGACCAGCCACACUGGGACUGAGACACGGCCCAGACUCCUACGGGAGGCAGCAGUAGGGAAUUUUGGACAAUGGGCGAAAGCCUGAUCCAGCAAUGCCGCGUGUGUGAUGAAGGCCUUCGGGUUGUAAAGCACUUUUGGCGGGAACGAAAAGGACUGUGCCAAUACCACGGUUCGAUGACGGUACCCGCAGAAUAAGCACCGGCUAACUACGUG
RNAcentral lists this ribosomal RNA (484 nucleotides) under uncultured bacterium. RNAcentral describes it as "partial 16S ribosomal RNA". It matches the Rfam family "Bacterial small subunit ribosomal RNA", at positions 29 to 507 of the family's 1533-position model. The record is from RNAcentral.